This 542-nucleotide long non-coding RNA is filed under the name Olea europaea subsp. europaea. Lineage: Eukaryota; Viridiplantae; Streptophyta; Magnoliopsida; Lamiales; Oleaceae. The record is from RNAcentral.
UGCUCGAUAAUACAGAAUCGGAAAAAGAUAAGAGACGUCCUACUUGGACAGAAUUCUGACCAAGUAUACUAACCCAAAAGAUAAAAGGGACAGAACCUGCAUCCCCCUACAUCUUCUACAGACAGUACAAUAAAUAAGUUAAAUAUCGCUGGAAAAUACAAGUUUUUAUCAUUCAAGAACAUAAAGUAAAGUUACUUAUAUCGGAAUAGAGUUUGACACAGAAGGAUAAACCACGGUGGCGGGAUGAGCCAUAAUACGGCGGCCCUUCAUGUGUCGAAAGCAAUACACCAAAGCCCCCACCGGCCACUCCACCAGUGCCGCCACCGCAAAUGCCAAGAACCCCAGCGUCGGCCCCACCACCUUGCACCUGCAAGGGUUGCUGGCCGUGCCACACUCCACACAAAUAGGAACACCAAUUGCCAUUACGAUAAUGAAUAUGCUAACCGUUUUUAUUUCGGCUGUUAUAUGAGAUUUUUGAAGAGAAAUUAGCGACGUUUUAUAGGGUUUUUUUUUUAAUGGAAUAUCGGGACAAUGGAAAUCGG